GGGAUACCGAAAUUCAAUUUUGUACAUACGGGAUAUAUAUACCAUGAAUCAAUGCUUUGUGACGUCAGUUACAGCAUGGCUUCGAGCAACGGAACAUCUAAAAAAAUGGAUGAAAAUCACGCCAAAAUUCUUUAUUUUCUGCCAAAAUAAAAAAAAAGAAGUCAAUUAAACGCUUUAGAAAUUGCGACGAGACCAUAAUGGACGUUUUGUUAAAUGUUGGGCCAAAUUGGAAGAGGAAUGAUGAAGAAAUUAUUGAGAAAUUUCAAAGUUAAAUCAUGCUGGUCAAAGACAAAAUGGCGGACGUCUUCUUGUCCAAUCAAGAAAAUGGAACGGAACUGCUUCAAUGGUGUUGAAAGUCAACAAUAUGUUAUAUGUGAUACCCUGUAAGUUAUUAUACAAUUACUCUUAAUGUAUAAAGCUAUUAUGUUUUACUUAUUUUACUUUUUACUAACUCAUUUAAUAUUUUGUCCUUUUAUUUCUCUAAAAAUGUUACCUAAAAAUUCGUUCAUUGCAUACAUUUCAAUACCACAACAAGAUGAUUAUUAUCAAAUGAUACAAUAGUCAUGUUCCAUUGCAAAUCUUCAAUAACCCUGUGAGAUAAAAGAUCGCCACACCCCUGAAACAAUUUACAGGUACCCCCCCCCCACCCUGCUGCAAAGCACAGCCUUAAUUUACCUGAAAACUGUCGCUAUUUUAUUUGAUAUAUCUAAAAAUUAAUCAGCUAUUUUUUAAUUCCCUUUAGUGAAUCUACAAAGCCAAGAUAAACCGUGGCCAAAAAAACCGAACAGCAGAAGAUGGUGAGUUGUUUUUUUUUUCUCUGGUAAAUUAAAUAUACACGAUAUAUUGCAGGUGACUUUAGAAGUUGACGGAUAAAAAAUUAACUCCUCCUAAAACUUUCGUCGCCAUGGCGAUCAUGACGUUUCAAUAUGGCGCAUAUUUUGGCUCAAGCUGUCUCCUUACUGGGGGUUUUUUUGGCAGCUGGAAAAUUUACGAUUUUGGGUAGAUUUUUUAACAAUUUUUACUUGUUCAAUCGGAAAUUUUCAUAGAUAUCUUAUAUACACUAGAUAGCGCAUCUCAUUUAGUAAAAUUGAAGCCAAGAAUAUUACAGCGGUUACCCCCAUUUGAAUAGAUGGUAGUGAUGGGCGAUACCAGCUUUUUUGGUUUCGAUACGAUACCAGUCCGAUACCAUGAAUUUUGGUCGAUACCGAUACCAAAAUCGAUACCGAUACUCAAUUUUUUCCAUUUAUUAAAAUAACUUUUAAAACACAAACAUUAAUGUUUAAAACAAGUCAAAGAAUACUCUAACUGGAGUACCUGCCAAAUAAUCGAACAUAACAUUUGCAAUUAUGAUUUUAAAUCAAAACAACAAUGUUUUCCUCAAAUAUACUGCUAAUUAGCUACAUGUUUUUGUUUAAGAACAGCAGCAUGUCAACAUUUUUUGCCUUCAGGGGCCUUCAGUCUGUUGCCUUCAUGAAGCAUUAAGUGAUUGGUCAGGAAUACUGACCAAAAACAUCGCAGGCUCAAGUGGUAUCGAAUUACCGAUACUUUUUGCGAGUAUCGAAAGUAUCGAUACUUUUGUAAGUAUCGAUGAUUUCGAUACUUUUUCGAUCGUAUCGCCCAUCACUAAUAGAUGGCGGCCAUGUUGGUCGUUCCCACUUGCUAAUAAACGCUUAAAAACAACAAUAACUUUCACUAUUUGAAUAGUUUAAAAACGUAUUUGGAAUAGGGUUAACUUAAUGUUUAAGUUCCCUGUUUAAGAAAUAGAAAACAUACGAAUCUUCUCAUUUCAUGGGAACGACCUGAGACUGCAAUCACGGCUUCAAUUUUUGAAUUGCAGAAUAAUUAGAUGCACUAUCUAGUGUAUAUAAGAUAUCUAUGGAAAUAGUAUCUGAGCUAUGGAAAAUACUACCUGAAGAAUAUGAAAUGUUUGUUAAAAUUGACGUCAGUGCUGUUGCUAUGGUAGCCAUGACGUUUUAAUAUGACCGGUUUUCUUUGGCUUUAAACUAAUUUAAUUCUAAAAAUAGAACGGUGACUCCACUUUUUAUCUUGUUAAUCGUUCGAUUAGUGAAAAUAAUUAUUUAACCAACUUCAAAAAAAAAUUGCCAUUGUAGAUUUCUUAAAAUUUAAAACGUAUUUUUUGCGAUUAAAAAAAUUCUAGACUGGCGAGCUUUUUAAAAAGAUGUCUAAUUAAUUAUUUUCAGGAAUUGAGAACGUUUUAACGUUUUAAUGAAACGUCAUGGUUACCAUAACAACGACAAUGACGUCAUUUUUGGUAAAAAAUUUAUGCUAUUCAGAUAGUAUUUUCUAUAGCUCAGAUACUAGCAUAGGCAACGCAGAAAAUAUAUGUAUUUUACUUAAAAACGCCUUAAAAUUAGAAAUAACUUUCUGACUUUGCUAUUAGUGCUUUAUUGUAUGGCUCAUUAUGUAUGCAGACUCGUAUGAUAGUCAUUGUAUCGUUAUACAGGGUGUAUAAAAAAAACUGAACAGAUUUAAAAUUGCUCUCAAUUUCGCAAAACAGCUAUUUGUAUCUGGUUUUUUAUAUAUAUAGCUUCUUUGGGUACUUAUAAUGUAAAAUAAUGAAAAAAAUUUCUCGAACUCAAAUUUUGUUAACCAGGGGGUGUGUCUUUUCCAACAAACUAAAAAUGGCUCGCGCACAAAAUUUAAAAGCUGCAAUCAUAUUUUGAGUUAACAGAUGGAAAAUUUGUAGGGAUUUUAAUUACUGUACAAAAUUUCAGACAAUUUGGUUUAGUUUAAGCCCCUUAACUAUUCACGCAAAGUUACAAUUUUCCCGAAAAAUCAGCUAUUUGCAUGCUUAAUUAAUGCAUUUGCCUAAUUUGCAUAUGUCAGAAAUAUGCAAAUUAGGUAAACGCAUUAAUUAAGCAUGCGAAAGGCUGACUUUUUAGAACAAAAUGAAUAGUUAAAGGACUUAAACUAAACCAAAUUGUAUGAAAUUUUGUACAGUAAUUAAAAACCCGACCAAUUUUCAAUCUAUUAACUCAAAAUAUGAUUACAGCUUUUGAAUUUUGUGCGCGAGCCAUUUUUAGUUUGUUGGAAAGGGCACCCCCCCCCCCCCUGGUUCACAAAAUUUGAGUUCGAGAAAUUUUUUUCAUUAUUUUACAUUUUAAGUACCCAAAGAACCUAUAUAUAUAAAAAACCAGCUACAAAUAGGUGUUUUGCGAAAUUGAGAGCAAUUUCAAAUCUGUUCAGUUUUUUUUUAUACACCCUGUAUAGUAUAAUAUCCUAAGGCUUUAGGAUAUUCCACUAUAUCACAAUCCAUGGCGUAAUCAUGCAAGUUCGCAUAUAUAAAGAGCUACACAAUAAAGCGCCAGAUAGCAAAGUCAGGCGAACUUUAUGCGCAUUUGUAAAUGUUUUUAACGCAUUUUUAAGUGAAUACAUAUAUUUGCUGGUUUGCCUAUGAUACUAGUUGCCUUUCAACAAGUAACAAUUGUUCAAAAAGUCUGCCCUACAUCGUAAAAUUUCCUCUUGCCUUUUCUUGUUAAAUUUUUUCCUAAAAUUUUUAUUGCAUAUUUGUUGGUAGAGUGAUAUGAAGGCAACAAUUGGACGACGCAAUCAAAGCGAGAGCAGAGAAGAACAACCGAACAAGCCAAUGAGAAUGUGGUAGAACACGUCCUCAGAAUGCAUGACGACCAAAAGAAGCCACAACUAUCCAAAGAUGAUAGCAAAUGUACGGUUUGUCACUGUUAUUUAUGUUCUAUACAAUUAAGAGAAUUCUGUUUAUUUUUUAUGUAUUACUCAUUACGUAUGCCACGGCAUUUUAUUUUCACACGGAUUUAGCACAUUAAGUUUAGUAUUAUUUGACUUAAAAUAUCUAUAAGUCAAAUUUAGCGUUCAAAUCAUUUGUAAGUCCUGUUGUUGCGCUUGUUAACCGAAUUGUUUCCAUUUUUUAUGGUGGUGCACUGUCAAUUGAGCGGACCAUGAUGGAUCAUCGCCAGAAAUAAAGAACCGCGACCAACAAAACAGAAGCAACGACGAUGCACAGAUACAGUGAAUGUAAGUUUUGCUGGCGUAUACGUAAUUUAAGCAAUAAUGUAAAUAUUUUUGUCCUAGGCGACGAGACAAUAACUUGUAUUGAUCGCCACACCCUAUUCUUCUUACUCAGCCGUAACGGCACACGCGAAAUAUUGUAGGCGAAUAUAGUUGCGGAAACUGAUAUCACCACCUUCUGUAGCUGGAAAUCUCCAUAGAUAUCUUAUAUACACUAGAUAGCGCAUCUCUUUUAGUAAAAUUGAAGCCAAAAAGAUUCCAUGGGUUACCCCAAUUUGAAUAGAUGGCGGCCAUGUUGGUCGUUCCCACUUGCUAAUAAACGCUUAAAAACAACAAUAACUUUCAUCAUUUGAAUAGUUUAAAAACGUAUUUGGAAUAGGGUUAACUUAAUGUUUAAGUUCCCUGUUUAAGAAAUAGAAAACAUGCGAAUCUUCUCAUUUCAUGGGAACGACCUGAGACUGCAAUCACGGCUUCAAUUUUUGAAUUACAGAAUAAUUAGAUGCACUAUCUAGUGUAUAUAAGAUAUGUAUGGAAAUCUCAAUUAUGUAAUCUUCUUUGCCUUAAAUUUCACACAAUAUAUAGCUUGAUUGAAAAUUCGUGUUUAAAAAAUUUAUUGUUACGGCUUUGUUACACAGUUAUUGAGCUAUCAUUCGAAGGCUUUCAGAAAUUAUUGAGGGGGGAGGGGCUGACCCCUGGUGUCCGCCACUUGAGUUCUGUGCGAUAUGCUACACCCUGACUUUUAUGUACUAAAAACUUAAAGACAUUUUAGCAUUCCUAUCUUUAAAAGUAUAUUAAGUAAAUGUUUCCUGUAAUAAGUGAGGUGAAAUAUUCAAUCUAUUUUGUUACUAAAGGUUGUUAUAUGGUGUGAAGAGGAAUCCAGCGAGAGUGCCCAAGAUGGAACGACCAGCAGAGGAAGACCUACAACCAACAGAUCCUAAAACAUCGUCCAGACGAGAGUAAAACGUAAGUUUUCAAGGUAAGAGAAAAUAAAAAAUGAUUCCAUCAAAAAUGUGUUUCGUGUCUGGAAGUGACCAUGAAUUUGCUUCUGUAUAAUUUUCUCAUGUAUAUAUUAUUAAAUUCUUAUUAACCGAACGCGAGCUCUGUGCAGAGAAAUAUUAGACUCAGGCCUUCUUUGUACAGACCGAGCCGGGAGGACGAGGUUUGUACAAAAAGACCGAGAUCCGAUAUUUCUCUGUGCAUACCGAGCAAGCGAGGUUAAUAAAAAGUUUAUUAUAUGGCAUUUAUUGGCAUUUAUACUUGAAGAAAAACAAGAAAGUCAUGAUUUGAAAUGCAUAUUAGUAGCGUGGUACACAUUUGGUCGAAGAAAACAAAAAUGCCAAUAUAUUCCUUCCUUUCCACUAAAAACCACUCGCAGAUUUCCUAUUAAUAACAAAUUAAAUUACAAUUUCAAAUUUUCAAUUAGUUUUGCUGUUUUGUUUUAAAAUGCACGCGCAGUGGCGGAAAUUCACUUUUCCGGUGGGGGGGGGGUGGUGUGGGCAAAGCAUCCCAAAUUUGCGACAAAACUUUCAAAUUUCCGACAUACCCCCCCCCCCAUUUGCACUCGAAAAGACUGUUUUUAGCCCUCUUUUAGACCAAAAUUUCCGAAAAUUCGUCAAUUUUCCGGAAGGUGGGGGGGGGGGGCGGGGGCGGCCGCCCCACCAAGAUUUCCGCCACUGUGCACGCGUUUGUGUUUACGUAAUGGAUCGCCGGUCCGUUACAUUACGGGAAAAUAAUCGACCGCUGAAAGCAUUCUCAGCCAAUCACAGUGCGCCAUUUCAGCGGAAAUGAUGCUUGCCAUAUAAUAAUAAUAAGUAAUAAUACGGUCUCGAGAGUGCAAUUUGGAGAACAUACACUCGUGAUUUUUCCAAAGUUUUCAAAUCGCACUCGUACUUCAGACUCGUGCAAUAUACUUUUGCAUGUUGUUUUCAAAUUGCACUCGGAACGGCACAAAUGCCCAUACCAACAACUAUAAUUUCAAAAAUGAAAUGUUACGUUUACCCUGCCCAGAUCAGGCCUUCCAUCUGGUCACCGCGCCAAUUUUGAUGCGUGCGCAAACAAAAUUUCUCCUUUUUUGUUGUUUCAAAAAGAAGUAAUGGGUUACCGCAUGAUGGCAACACAAAUUCGUCCUACACCCUGCCGCCUCACUGGAUAUUGCCCUACAACAUGGUUGCCGUAACGUCACAUGCUCCAUCAGCCUAUACACCUUGACUUUCUAUUUUUAAUUUGGGCGCUUUUACACGAGAAGACUGGGAGCCACGCGCUUUGAGGGCGGGGUGGAGGAUGGGCGAAAGCAUGCGACGUCAUACUUAGCAAAUGCUAGCCUUAAAUUGACCAAAACCUGCCAAAACCAGUCGAAUAAAGGGUCUAGGGUCGACAUUAUUAAUUAUAUUUAACAGUUAUUCUACGAACUCGAGUCGAAUAUGAGCUAAUAGCCAAUGAGGCACGUAGCGCCGAAUCGCCUAUUGCUCAUAUUCGACGAGAGUGAGUCGAAUAACUGUUUUAUUAUAAACACAAGGUCUAAAUUCACAGAUUUCGUUUUUCGGAUAUUUUCAAUGUUUUUCUAUUUUGUUUAUGUAUUUAUCUUCGCUCUUUCGGCCGAUUAUUUAUUCAAAAAUAUAUAUUUUUAGCCAUUUUAAGAAUUCAUUUGCCAACCUGUAAACAAUUUGUGGGAGUUCUUUAUUGUGUUUUUAAUCGUGUAAAGGCUAUAUCAAAAGGGAACAAAUUGCCGUUUUCUCGUUCGCGAAACGUCGGAAAUUCAGUUUGAGCCGCCAUUUUGUUUUUCUCUACUAGCAGGAUAUGGACUAGUAAUAUCCUGCUGCAAGUAGAGAACCAAUAAGAUUGCAGAAUACCUCAUAUCCAGACCUUGUGUAUAUAAUAAAACAGUUAUUGCACUCACUCUCGUCGAAUAUGAGCGAUAGCCAAUUCGGCACUAUCAGCCCAUAUUCGACUCGAGUUCGUAGAAUAACUGUUAAAUAUUUCAUGUUUCAAAUGAUCAAUUAAUAUUACCACGCAAUUCGAAAUUGUUGAUUAUGGGAUAAUAAUGCCGUUGAAUUGGGGCCGAAGCCCUUAAUAUUGGAGGACUGCAUGAAUAUCUGUUAAAAAAAUCCUGACAAUUUACAUAUAGAUAUUAUUCAUUAAGUUCCUUUUCUACCAAAUACCUUUAAUUAACAUGAUUCGAUCAUAUUUCAUGGACUCAUGGAUACUUUUUAAUUUCCAGCAAAAGGUGAUGUGAUGAAAUGUUGAUGUGUUGAAAAGAGACGAUGAAAAGUCCAAAAUUCAAAAAGAGCCACUCACAAAUGGCAUGGAGACAGGAAAAGAAUCACGAUUCGCAACAAUCGGAAAAUAAUAGGAAAGUAGCGAAAAAUGUUACCAAUGUAAGUUAGUUAAAGACAGAAUACUUAUUUAAAAAUCAAAGGGGAUUCAAGUGAAUACAAUGAUUUUCUCAUUAAAAUUUAUAAGCAUGCUACGAGUUUGCCGAUUUUUUUCGACUUUGUUUUCCAGUUUUGGACUAUAGAAAUAAUUGCCCUCCAAAUCAGAUAAAACGUUUGAAUAAAGCUUUCAAAAACACGAUAACGCAAUGUUUUUGCGACGAGCUAGAGUCUGUAUGGUAACGUAUCAUUUCAU
Paramuricea clavata is the source of this 7629-nucleotide non-coding RNA. NCBI's taxonomy places the organism in Eukaryota, Metazoa, Cnidaria, Anthozoa, Malacalcyonacea, Plexauridae. The record is from the annotation of a GenBank genome assembly.